Molecule: ribosomal RNA, 435 nt
Filed under: uncultured bacterium
Lineage: Bacteria
Description: partial 16S ribosomal RNA
Rfam family: Bacterial small subunit ribosomal RNA
Source: RNAcentral
AGCGAACGCUGGCGGCAGGCUUAACACAUGCAAGUCGAGCGGGCACUUUCGGGUGUCAGCGGCGGACGGGUGAGUAACGCGUGGGAACGUGCCCUCUGGCUCGGAAUAACUCAGGGAAACUUGAGCUAAUACCGGAUACGCCCUUUUGGGGAAAGGCUUGCUGCCGGAGGAUCGGCCCGCGUCUGAUUAGCUAGUUGGUGAGGUAACGGCUCACCAAGGCGACGAUCAGUAGCUGGUCUAUGAGGAUGAGCAGACACACUGGGACUGAGACACGGCCCAGACUCCUACGGGAGACAGCAGUGGGGAAUAUUGGACAAUGGGCGCAAGCCUGAUGCAGCCAUGCCGCGUGAGUGAUGAAGGCCUUAGGGUUGUAAAGCUCUUUUAUCCGGGACGAUAAUGACGGUACCGGAGGAAUAAGCCCCGGCUAACUUCGUG